Molecule: ribosomal RNA, 765 nt
Filed under: uncultured Streptococcus sp.
Lineage: Bacteria; Bacillati; Bacillota; Bacilli; Lactobacillales; Streptococcaceae
Description: bacterial SSU rRNA
Rfam family: Bacterial small subunit ribosomal RNA
Source: RNAcentral
GACGAACGCUGGCGGCGUGCCUAAUACAUGCAAGUAGAACGCUGAAGAGAGGAGCUUGCUCUUCUUGGAUGAGUUGCGAACGGGUGAGUAACGCGUAGGUGACCUGCCUGGUAGCGGGGGAUAACUAUUGGAAACGAUAACUAAUACCGCAUAAGAGUAGAUGUUGCAUGACAUUUGCUUAAAAGGUGCAAUUGCAUCACUACCAGAUGGACCUGCGUUGUAUUAGCUAGUUGGUGAGGUAACGGCUCACCAAGGCGACGAUACAUAGCCGACCUGAGAGGGUGAUCGGCCACACUGGGACUGAGACACGGCCCAGACUCCUACGGGAGGCAGCAGUAGGGAAUCUUCGGCAAUGGACGGAAGUCUGACCGAGCAACGCCGCGUGAGUGAAGAAGGUUUUCGGAUCGUAAAGCUCUGUUGUAAGAGAAGAACGAGUGUGAGAGUGGAAAGUUCACACUGUGACGGUAUCUUACCAGAAAGGGACGGCUAACUACGUGCCAGCAGCCGCGGUAAUACGUAGGUCCCGAGCGUUGUCCGGAUUUAUUGGGCGUAAAGCGAGCGCAGGCGGUUAGAUAAGUCUGAAGUUAAAGGCUGUGGCUUAACCAUAGUACGCUUUGGAAACUGUUUAACUUGAGUGCAAGAGGGGAGAGUGGAAUUCCAUGUGUAGCGGUGAAAUGCGUAGAUAUAUGGAGGAACACCGGUGGCGAAAGCGGCUCUCUGGCUUGUAACUGACGCUGAGGCUCGAAAGCGUGGGGAGCAAACAGG